RNAcentral lists this long non-coding RNA (543 nucleotides) under Lepisosteus oculatus (spotted gar). Its description in RNAcentral is "lncRNA (ENSLOCG00000022506.1)". Lineage: Eukaryota; Metazoa; Chordata; Actinopteri; Semionotiformes; Lepisosteidae. The record is from RNAcentral.
GUUGAAGUCAAGAAAACAGGCGGGGAAUUCAGCAGCUGACAGGCCGCUGACGAAUUUAAUGUUUUUUUUUUAAGAGUAAUAUGUAUAUUGUAAAUUAAUCUUUCUGCGAUUGCUUGAGGUUUUUGGUUACGAUGGAGCAGCCUCAGAAUGACGGACUGAGAAACGGAGCAGACCCAGGAGCUGUGCAAGUGAAGUUUCCCUGCUGUGCAAAGAUCUCCAGCCUGGAGGCACUGAAGGAGCGGAUCCAGUCCACCCUGAACCAGGGCAGCAGCGACUUCACCUGCCCACAGUGCGCCUUCCGUUGGUCGUGGCCUCAAGUGCGACAACUGGCUCUGCUGAGUGAGGAGGAGAGGGUGGGACUGGAGAGGAAAAUUCUAGAGCUCAGUGUGGACAACACUGACCAAUACAGGAAGGUCAGCUAAUGCACACUGAUGUCCGGUGUGUCUGUAUUAACCCCUCUCUCUCUCAGUGCAGUGUUAAUGUACUGUAGUGACCAGUGUGUCUGUAUUAACCCCUCUCUCUCAGUGCAGUGUUAAUGGACUG